AGAGUUUGAUCAUGGCUCAGGAUGAACGCUAGCUACAGGCUUAACACAUGCAAGUCAGGGGCAGUCAGUUUGGUUUGCUUGCAAACCUAAAGCUGGCGACCGGCGCACGGGUGAGUAACACGUAUCCAACCUGCCUCAUACUCGGGGAUAGCCUUUCGAAAGUAAGACUAAUACCCAAUGAUAUCUCUAGAAGACAUCUGAAAGAGAUUAAAGAUUUAUCGGUGAUGGAUGGGGAUGCGUCUGAUUAGCUUGUUGGCGGGGUAACGGCCCACCAAGGCAACGAUCAGUAGGGGUUCUGAGAGGAAGGUCCCCCACAUUGGAACUGAGACACGGUCCAAACUCCUACGGGAGGCAGCA
Molecule: ribosomal RNA, 357 nt
Filed under: uncultured bacterium
Lineage: Bacteria
Description: bacterial SSU rRNA
Rfam family: Bacterial small subunit ribosomal RNA
Source: RNAcentral